GGAGAUAUUGAAGCAGCGAAAUGGUUGAUUGGAACCGUGAGCAGAGGUGGAGUGCACUCACUAGAUUCAACACACAGUGGAAUAAUUGCAGUUUAGUGGAUUUGGUGAUUGACGUUGGUGGAAGAAUGAGCUAACGGUGGAUAUGGUAUCUAGUUCAGACAGCCUUCCAUCCCUGGAAGGAAGCUAGAGGAGAGAAAGGGGAAGCUCAAGGAUGGACUUUCGGUGCAGAGAAAAUGGCUGGAAAUUGCUUCAGCAUAACUUCUCUUAUUUUCUCUUCUUUUCUUCUCUCUUUUUCUUCCUCUUAUCUUCUCUCUCUCUUUCUUUCUUCUUCUUCUCCUCUUAUCUCUUGUUCUCUUGUUUCUAUUUCUCUUCUCUCAAGCUUUUCUUGUUCCCUCUUUAAUCUUUCUCUUUCUCUCUUUAGUCUCU
RNAcentral lists this long non-coding RNA (426 nucleotides) under Vigna radiata. RNAcentral's name for it is "long non-coding RNA (VRAD_LNC014844)". Lineage: Eukaryota; Viridiplantae; Streptophyta; Magnoliopsida; Fabales; Fabaceae. The record is from RNAcentral.